Molecule: ribosomal RNA, 253 nt
Filed under: uncultured bacterium
Lineage: Bacteria
Description: partial 16S ribosomal RNA
Rfam family: Bacterial small subunit ribosomal RNA
Source: RNAcentral
GACAGAGGUGCCGAGCGUUAGGCGGAAUCACUGGGCUUAAAGGGCGCGUAGGCGGGCUGACAAGUCUGGGGUGAAAUCCCACGGCUCAACCGUGGAACUGCCUUAGAUACUGUCGGCCUCGAGGAAGGUAGGGGCAUGCGGAACUGUAGGUGGAGCGGUGAAAUGCGUUGAUAUCUACAGGAACUCCGGUGGCGAAAGCGGCGUGCUGGACCUUUUCUGACGCUGAGGCGCGAAAGCUAGGGGAGCAAACGGG